AGGCGCGGAGGGAAGUCCCUGCGGAAGGGGCUUUCGGAGCUGCAGUCGAAUCGCAGGGAAAGAGAAAGUGUUCGAAACGCUGCUUUGACACAGUGACCUUGUGUGAGCCCUAGCUGCACACACCCCCCCCACCCACGCCCUCCCCGCAGACAGCAGCACGCACACCCCCGGCCGGCUCACGGUACGCGGCCGCUGCCCGCACUCCCGGGUCGGGCCUGCGCGUCCCUGUGGGGUUGGGCGAGCGGGGUAUCGAGGGUCCAGCAGCCUGGACCCGGCCCCUCCACAGGGCAGUCCCUUUUCCAGCUUCCAAAAGCUAGCGUUGCUCACCUACUGCCAGACCCCAGACCCACUUCUCCCACGAGGUGUAAAGAAGGACCCCUGAGGGUCUUCCACGUCACCUUGUGGAGCCUCGUGGAGUAUGGCAGAAGGAGGAGGGCAAUUUGAGGUCCUGCAGCGCCCGGGGGAACCAGGGAUGAACUCCCUCCUGCCCCCAGGCUCUCCUCCUCAUCCUAGAAUCAAUCGAUGGGAUUCAGUUACAGAAAUAUUUAUUAAACACCGACUAUAUGCCAAGUUAUAAAAACCUGGGACAAGAUGGUAAACAAAGCAGGACAGUAAACAAAAUAUAUUAACCCCUGCCUUUCAGGAACUGGCAUUCUAGUUAGGUGAGGGAGAUGAUAAACAAAAAAUAAGCAAAUGAUCUAGGCUAGUGCUGCCCGAUAGAAAUAGAAGGGAAGCCAUGAAUGUAAUGUUUAAUUUUGUAGUAACCAUGUUAAGAUGGUAAAAAGAAACACAUGAAAUUAACUUUAAUUUUUUUUUUUGAGACCGAGUUUCGCUCUUGUUGCCCAGGCUGGAAUACAAUGAUGUCGACUCACCACAACCUCUGCCUCCUGAAUUCAAGCAAUUCCCCUGCCUCAGCCUCCCAAGUAGCUGGGAUUACAGGUAUUCACCACCACUCCUGACUAAUUUUGUAUUUUUGGUAGAGAUGGAGUUUCUCCAUGUUGGUCAGGCUGGUCUCGAACUCCCGACCUCAGGUGAUCCGCCCGCCUUGACCUCCCAAAGUGCUGGGAUUACAGGCGUGAGCCACCGCGCCUGGCCAAUUUUAAUUUUUUUUUUUAAGGAACCGGGUCUUCUUAAAGGGUUCCUUAAGGAACCAGGUCUCUACUUUGUGGUCCAGGCUGGAGUUCAGUGGUGCGAUCAUACCUCACUGCGGCCUCCAACUCCUGAUGCUCCUGCCUCAGCCUUCCAAAGCCCUGAGAUUACAGGCGUGAGCCACUGGGCUUGGCCAAAAUUAACUUUAAUAAUGUAUUCUAUUUAAUCCAAUAUAUCCAGAUGUUACCAUUUCAACAUGUAAUCAAUAUACAAAAAACUAUUGAGUUUUUCUUUUUCUUUUUUCUUGUACUAAGCCUUGUAAAUCCAGUGAGUACUUAUACUUCCAGCACAUUUCAGCUCAGCCUGAACACAUUCCCAGCACUCAGUGGCCACAUGUGCCUAAUGGCUAUAGCAAUGGGCAGCAGAGUCUUGAUGUUAGAUGUGGGCUGUGGAACAUAAGGAAAGUAGAGGCGGGCAAAGGGGCUGGGAUAGGAAGCGCUAAGUGGGGGUGGUCUGCCCUGGGCAGCCCUGACCGGGUGGUGAGGACAGGAGUCGGGCCACAGAUAAGACCUGCAGAUUACCUGCAAUCUGAAUCCAGGCUUGGCCACUGGCCUUCGCAAUUCACCUGACCUUGCUGAAUAAGGGCAUUUUCCUCCAGUGUGGAUUGGAGUUAUGCAUCUGAGGCUAUGAGGCACUCAUUAAAUGUUAUCCUUAUCUCACCUGUCUGCAACAGUAGGCAGGGCACAGGCCCCCAAUCUCAGAGUCACAUCCUUUCCACCCGCAACUCUUAUGGCCACCAAAGGCGGCCUAUGCCCCACCCCACCCCCAGACCCUCCAUCUUUUAUCCAUUUCUACUCCUUGCUACAGCAAGAUACUUAACCUUCUCAGGCUUCUGUUUCACUACGUAGUAGGUGCUUUAAGCUCUUCAAAGAAAAGCAUUGUAGACUUCCAGAAGACCAAGCCACCCUCUUAAGAUGGACCCAGGCCAAUGCUGAGGUGGGUGGGGCCAGCAGGUUCCAGGUGCCAACCCCACCACACCUCUUUGGGAACUGGGAGAAAAACCGGCCCUCUUUUCCGGAGGUUGCGGUGAGCCGAGAUCACGCCAUUGCACUCCAGCCUAGGCAACAAGAGCAAAAAUCUGUCUCAAAAAAAAAACGACUGGCCCUCUUUUCUGCCCACAACAGCCAUCCUACCCUCAAAGCCCCUUCCAGCCAAGGACAAAAAUGAUAUGAAAGGAUGCAUCUGAAAUGCGCACAGAUCCCAGGGAGCAGGGGUGGAGGAGAGGGCCCCAAGUCAAGAAGCUGCUUCGAGAGGAGCUGUUGAUCACUGUUAUACACUCCACCUCCACCUGGGCUGGUAGGCAACAGGCCCACAAACACAAGAGAAGUAUUGGGAUCAACAACCAGCCCUUCCUGGGGGACCUGUGGGACCAAGAUUGAGACUGCAGCAAGGCUGGAGGUGGGAGAUGAAAGCAGGCCCAGAAGUGCCCAGACAAGCAGCAGCAGGACCAGCCUUGGGAUGCAGACCCGCCCUUGCCCCUCACCAAAAGCCGGGGAUCUCAACAGGCCCCCUGUAUGAUGACACAGAAACCUGAAUGUCAGCAGCUUCUGCCUGACACUGCCCAUGGCGAGCUCCACUGCUCUUCCAGGGAGUCCCGGGCAGCUGCCAGCAGGGAAGGCCCUGGAGUUUCUCUACUCGCUAGCUUACCAGUCUCCCUUACAGAUCCCACCCCAGACUGCAAGGCAUGCCCAGUUCCCAGUAGCUGUAUUUCCCGCCAUCCAGCAGACCUCAGAGGGAAGGCAGGAGUUGGGAGGUGUCCCAGCCUGGGCUGGCCACCAGAUUCACGCUGCUCACCCUCUAGGCCACUCAGGUAUUCUAGAGACCCCCUAGUGGCUGGGUUCCUAGAAAGUAAGAAAAUAAAGAGGCUCCAACCCAAUUUAC
RNAcentral lists this long non-coding RNA (3030 nucleotides) under Homo sapiens (human). Its description in RNAcentral is "HSALNT0333918". The record is from RNAcentral. Lineage: Eukaryota; Metazoa; Chordata; Mammalia; Primates; Hominidae.